UACGUAGGGGGCAAGCGUUGUCCGGAAUCAUUGGGCGUAAAGCGCGUGUAGGCGGCUUGGUAAGUCUGCUCUGAAAGCCCGGGGCUCAACCCCGGGAGGCGGGUGGAUACUGUCAAGCUCGAGUCCGGAAGAGGAGUGUGGAAUUCCUGGUGUAGCGGUGAAAUGCGCAGAUAUCGAAGGAAGACACCCAGUGGCGAAGGCGGCUCCUGUCGGGCACGUGACUGACGCUGAGACGACGAAGCGUGGGGGAGCGAAACAGG
This 260-nucleotide ribosomal RNA is filed under the name uncultured bacterium. RNAcentral's name for it is "partial 16S ribosomal RNA". It matches the Rfam family "Bacterial small subunit ribosomal RNA", at positions 524 to 776 of the family's 1533-position model. The record is from RNAcentral.